UACGUAGGGUGCGAGCGUUAAUCGGAAUUACUGGGCGUAAAGCGUGCGCAGGCGGUUCGUUGUGUCGGCGGGGAAAGCCCCGGGCUUAACCUGGGAAUGGCCGUUGAAACUGGCGAACUGGAGUGCCGGAGAGGAGGGUGGGAUUCUCGAAGUAGAGGUGAAAUUCGUAGAUAUCGGGAGGAACACCGGUGGCGAAGGCGACCCUCUGGACGGACACUGACGCUGAGACGCGAAAGCGUGGGUAGCAAACAGG
Molecule: ribosomal RNA, 253 nt
Filed under: uncultured bacterium
Lineage: Bacteria
Description: partial 16S ribosomal RNA
Rfam family: Bacterial small subunit ribosomal RNA
Source: RNAcentral